RNAcentral lists this long non-coding RNA (651 nucleotides) under Mytilus galloprovincialis (Mediterranean mussel). Lineage: Eukaryota; Metazoa; Mollusca; Bivalvia; Mytilida; Mytilidae. The record is from RNAcentral.
GCUCGUUAAAAGUCCUCGGCGAAAUAUAAAAAGAAGUAUUUCAACAAUUUAUACUAUAGAAUAUUAAAAUGAAAUUAUAUCGUACAAGAAAGAAAUAUGUAAAAAAAAAUGUGGAUCGGAUUUUUACGAUCGACACAUUUUCACAGAGGAUCUCACCAACGCCCAUCAGGAACUGAACGACAUGCAUCCUGUUUUCAUCUACCAUUAAUGUAUAGUGUUGACUAUGGAAGUAUAAAUAAUGUCCAGGUUUAUGUCCUCUGUUGACUGAGAAACGUAUAAAUAAAAGGCUGAUGUUCGUUUAUUCAGAAAAGGAAUAAAAUUUAGAAUCCGGUUAAUCAAUUGUAAAAGGACCUUCUAGAGCCUCAAUCUUAACGCACACAAAUGUCAAUCAUUACAAAGCAAGUUUAAACCUUCAAUGAAUUUUCCCACGGUUAUCCAGAAAGGUCACCUGAGUUUACUGUUACAUGAUACUAUUUCCCGCCAAAUAAAAAUCUCGUGGACAAAAUUGAUGUCACUAUUUUUAGCAUUCAAUAUUGUGAGCGAAGUCAAGUUCAAGUUCAACCACGCACUGUUGAUCACUGAGAUGCGUGUCGUCUUCCCACGGCAAUUAAUUGUUUAAAAAUAUUUAAAGAUCACUGUUCUAAAUACAAC